RNAcentral lists this ribosomal RNA (474 nucleotides) under Bacillus cereus. Its description in RNAcentral is "bacterial SSU rRNA". Lineage: Bacteria; Bacillati; Bacillota; Bacilli; Caryophanales; Bacillaceae. The record is from RNAcentral.
GCAKSCGAYYAAGAGCWUGCUCUUAUGAAGUUAGCGGCGGACGGGUGAGUAACACGUGGGUAACCUGCCCAUAAGACUGGGAUAACUCCGGGAAACCGGGGCUAAUACCGGAUAAYAUUUUGAACYGCAUGGUUCGAAAUUGAAAGGCGGCUUCGGCUGUCACUUAUGGAUGGACCCGCGUCGCAUUAGCUAGUUGGUGAGGUAACGGCUCACCAAGGCAACGAUGCGUAGCCGACCUGAGAGGGUGAUCGGCCACACUGGGACUGAGACACGGCCCAGACUCCUACGGGAGGCAGCAGUAGGGAAUCUUCCGCAAUGGACGAAAGUCUGACGGAGCAACGCCGCGUGAGUGAUGAAGGCUUUCGGGUCGUAAAACUCUGUUGUUAGGGAAGAACAAGUGCUAGUUGAAUAAGCUGGCACCUUGACGGUACCUAACCAGAAAGCCACGGCUAACUACGUGCCAGCAGCCGCAAA